RNAcentral lists this ribosomal RNA (459 nucleotides) under uncultured bacterium. RNAcentral describes it as "partial 16S ribosomal RNA". It matches the Rfam family "Bacterial small subunit ribosomal RNA", at positions 338 to 795 of the family's 1533-position model. The record is from RNAcentral.
CCUACGGGAGGCAGCAGUGAGGAAUAUUGGUCAAUGGGCGGGAGCCUGAACCAGCCAAGUCGCGUGAGGGAGGACGGUACAAUGGAUUGUAAACCUCUGUUGUCGGGGAACAAAGGCGGCCACGGGUGGGCGGAUGAGUGUACCCGAAGAAAAAGCAUCGGCUAACUCCGUGCCAGCAGCCGCGGUAAUACGGAGGAGGCGAGCGUUAUCCGGAUUUAUUGGGUGUAAAGGGUGCGUAGGCGGCCAGUCAAGUCAGCGGUCAAACUGCGGGGCGCAACGCCGUACAGCCGUUGAAACUGGCAGUCUUGAGUGGGCGAGAAGUAUGCGGAAUGCGUGGUGUCGCGGUUAACUGCAUAGAUAUCACGCAGAACUCCGAUUGCGAAGGCAGCAUACCGGCGCCCGACUGACGCUGAUGCACGAACGCGUGGGUAUCGAACAGGAUUAGAUACCCCUGUCGUC